CCUACGGGAGGCAGCAGUGGGGAAUAUUGGGCAAUGGGCGCAAGCCUGACCCAGCAACGCCGCGUGAAGGAAGAAGGCUUUCGGGUUGUAAACUUCUUUUGUCAGGGACGAAGCAAGUGACGGUACCUGACGAAUAAGCCACGGCUAACUACGUGCCAGCAGCCGCGGUAAUACGUAGGUGGCAAGGGUUAUCCGGAUUUAUUGGGUGAAAGGGGCGGGUGGGCGGGAUGGAAAGUCAGAUGUGACAACAACGGCGUCAACCGGUGGCCUGAAUUUGAAACUGUAGUUUUUGAUUACGGGGAGGCAGACGGAAUUCCUAGUGUAGCGGUGAAAUGCGUAGAUAUUAGGAGGAACACCAGUGGCGAAGGCGGUCUGCUGGACAGCAACUGACGCUGAGGCGCGAAAGCGUGGGGAGCAAACAGGAUUAGAUACCCUUGUAGUC
This 442-nucleotide ribosomal RNA is filed under the name uncultured bacterium. RNAcentral's name for it is "partial 16S ribosomal RNA". It matches the Rfam family "Bacterial small subunit ribosomal RNA", at positions 338 to 795 of the family's 1533-position model. The record is from RNAcentral.